Molecule: small nucleolar RNA, 142 nt
Filed under: Erythranthe guttata (spotted monkey flower)
Lineage: Eukaryota; Viridiplantae; Streptophyta; Magnoliopsida; Lamiales; Phrymaceae
Description: Mimulus guttatus (spotted monkey flower) Small nucleolar RNA snoR136
Rfam family: Small nucleolar RNA snoR136
Source: Rfam by way of RNAcentral
GUGCUUUACUUGAUUUAAAUUAUGUCGAGCUGAUAAUUAUUAUGAGGUUCGACAAUAGUUUCGAGUUUAGCUAUAAAAAUAAGUUUCCCUCGCUAUCCGAUGAUACUCUUUUCGUGCAUUUGGACGUCGGGGAACUACAUUU